GAGUGCAUGAAGCUGGAAUCGCUAGUAAUCGCGGAUCAGAAUGCCGCGGUGAAUACGUUCCCGGGUCUUGUACACACCGCCCGUCACACCAUGGGAGUCGGGAAUGCCCGAAGCCGGUGGCCCGAUCGAGAGAAGGGAGCCGUCGAAGGCAGGCCGGAUGACUGGGGUGAAGUCGUAACAAGGUAAC
RNAcentral lists this ribosomal RNA (187 nucleotides) under uncultured bacterium. RNAcentral describes it as "partial 16S ribosomal RNA". It matches the Rfam family "Bacterial small subunit ribosomal RNA", at positions 1314 to 1500 of the family's 1533-position model. The record is from RNAcentral.